GAUGAAGAACGCAGCGAAAUGCGAUACGUAAUGUGAAUUGCAGAUUUCAGUGAAUCAUCGAAUCUUUGAACGCACAUUGCGCCCGCCAGUAUUCUGGCGGGCAUGCCUGUUCGAGCGUCAUUUCAACCAUCAAGCCUUCGCUUGUGUUGGGGCCCCGCGGCUGCCGCGGUCCCCUAAAUCCAGUGGCGGGCUCGUCGUCGUACUGAGCGCAGUAGACAUCCUCGCUCCGGGAACCCGACGGGUGCCGGCCGUGAAACCCCCCACAUCAAGGUUGACCUCGGAUCAGGUAGGAAUACCCGCUGAACUUAAGCAUAUCAAUAAGCGGAGGA
This 329-nucleotide unclassified non-coding RNA is filed under the name soil metagenome. Its description in RNAcentral is "partial contains 5.8S ribosomal RNA, internal transcribed spacer 2, and large subunit ribosomal RNA". The stretch from base 1 to 120 matches the Rfam family "5.8S ribosomal RNA", at positions 35 to 154 of the family's 154-position model. The record is from RNAcentral.